Cydia amplana is the source of this 236-nucleotide long non-coding RNA. RefSeq lists it as uncharacterized. The transcript has 3 exons. NCBI's taxonomy places the organism in Eukaryota, Metazoa, Arthropoda, Insecta, Lepidoptera, Tortricidae. The record is from RefSeq and is a predicted model, not a curated record.
AUUAACAGGACAUGGGAUCGUGCCAGUCGUGCCUGGGGGACAAUGAUUCAGCAUCAAGUAUAUGGGAUAGGUCUCGGUCGCCUAAACGAGAUGAACGCGUACAAACUAGAGCAACGCAAGGACCACCAAAUCCGGCUUCAUAUAAUCAGAGAGUUGCACAGACUGCUCCAUUUACACGUCCACAGAAUGAAGAGCGCAAUGUAUAUGAAAGACUAAAUCGACCUGUGGUAAGUGGC